UUAGCUGUCACAGGAAUGAGACCCCAAGUCAACCAGUUUGCACUAUGGGAUCCUGCCUGCUGGGCCAACUUGACUGGGAUUAAGGUUGACUGGGGAACCAAGGUCAUUGAGGUCUCUUAUGGCCCCAGGCUGGCAGAAGCUCCAUCUCAAUCCACACUUUCAUCAUCAUACAGUUUGGCAAGACAAAGUAUGGGCUGAAUAUAUAAUUUGAACAUAUAAUUAUUUCUUGAUAACUACAAAGCAAGUGCUGGAGGACUUCCAGAAUCCUUUGGUAUUGGAUGUACCUAGACAAAUGGUAUACUCAUGUGUAACACAGCCUCUGCCACCGAGUGCGCACUCAAAAAUCACGUGAGUACAUAUGAUUGACACUUCCUGUCACCUGCCUUCCUGCAGGCCUUUUCCUGCCCCUUCAUUCACCUUUGUGUUUGAAUGUUCACAUGGCUUGUUCUUCUACACCAGAUUAUGAGCAUCUAAAAGUCACGAUCUCUGACUCUAAGUCCCAUAGACUUAGUCCAGUGUCCUGCACAGAGAGGGACCUCAAGAAUAAUUUCUAAAUAACAUUUUAGAAUCAGCUCUUUGCCUGAGUCUUUCAAAAAUUGCCAUGUAUGGGUUGAAAUUUUAGUUAAAACUGCAUGUGGUCCAUAGUUUUAUCUCCCUUAUCUGAGGUAAUAAGGAGGGAACCACAGUUAUUUGCAGUAACAGAUCCUACCCCAGGUCCCUGUGCUUCUCUGUGAGUGACCAGUGGUACCUCCACACUGCUGCUCUGUUGAUCUAGCCCAAACUCCUGGUGAAUCCAGCCUGCCUUUGGGCUUUGGGAUCCAAUCUUGGGAUAUAAAAGGUAAGCAGGAGGGAAUGACCCAAGUCCGCAUAGGUAAUACACAAAUAGGGUGAGGCACUAGUGGCUGAUGAAGGGAAUUACAUAUUGAUAAUGUAAACUUACAUGAAGCGCAGCUUUCCAGGAUUAGGUAGAAAUUCCA
Molecule: long non-coding RNA, 977 nt
Organism: Callithrix jacchus (white-tufted-ear marmoset)
Lineage: Eukaryota; Metazoa; Chordata; Mammalia; Primates; Cebidae
Source: RefSeq, a predicted model, not a curated record